Molecule: ribosomal RNA, 253 nt
Filed under: uncultured bacterium
Lineage: Bacteria
Description: partial 16S ribosomal RNA
Rfam family: Bacterial small subunit ribosomal RNA
Source: RNAcentral
CACGUAGGGCGCAAGCGUUGUCCGGAAUUAUUGGGCGUAAAGAGCUCGUAGGUGGUUUGUUACGUCUGCUGUGAAAACCUAGGGCUUAACCCUGGGCUUGCAGUGGAUACGGGCAGACUAGAGGUAGGUAGGGGAGAAUGGAAUUCCUGGUGUAGCGGUGAAAUGCGCAGAUAUCAGGAGGAACACCGGUGGCGAAGGCGGUUCUCUGGGCAUUACCUGACGCUGAGGAGCGAAAGCAUGGGGAGCGAACAGG